Molecule: transfer RNA, 67 nt
Filed under: Marmota monax (woodchuck)
Lineage: Eukaryota; Metazoa; Chordata; Mammalia; Rodentia; Sciuridae
Description: tRNA.Gly
Source: RNAcentral
GGUUGUGGCUCAGUGGUAGAGAGCUCACCUACCACAAGCGAGGCCCUGGGUUCAAUCCUCAGCACCA